UGGUGAGAACAUGAAUCCAGAUGGCAUGG
RNAcentral lists this non-coding RNA (29 nucleotides) under Cricetulus griseus (Chinese hamster). The record is from RNAcentral. Lineage: Eukaryota; Metazoa; Chordata; Mammalia; Rodentia; Cricetidae.